AUUGAACGCUGGCGGCAGGCUUAACACAUGCAAGUCGAGCGGGGUGAUGGUGCUUGCACUAUCACUUAGCGGCGGACGGGUGAGUAAUGCUAGGAAUCUGCCUAUUAGUGGGGGACAACAUCUCGGAAGGGAUGCUAAUACCGCAUACGUCCUACGGGAGAAAGCAGGGGAUCACUUGUGACCUUGCGCUAAUAGAUGAGCCUAAGUCGGAUUAGCUAGUUGGUGGGGUAAAGGCCUACCAAGGCGACGAUCUGUAGCGGGUCUGAGAGGAUGAUCCGCCACACUGGGACUGAGACACGGCCCAGACUCCUACGGGAGGCAGCAGUGGGGAAUAUUGGACAAUGGGGGGAACCCUGAUCCAGCCAUGCCGCGUGUGUGAAGAAGGCCUUAUGGUUGUAAAGCACUUUAAGCGAGGAGGAGGCUCUUUUGGUUAAUACCCAAGAUGAGUGGACGUUACUCGCAGAGUAAGCACCGGCUAACUCUGUGCCAGCAGCCGCGGUAA
This 502-nucleotide ribosomal RNA is filed under the name uncultured bacterium. Its description in RNAcentral is "partial 16S ribosomal RNA". It matches the Rfam family "Bacterial small subunit ribosomal RNA", at positions 30 to 523 of the family's 1533-position model. The record is from RNAcentral.